AUGUCCGAGGUGGACUCUUGGCAGUUUUGCGCCAAGCUGGUCUGCAAAUUUAUAAAGGGACGGGGCGCGAACCUCAGACGUGAUAUCCGGGAUCGCAAGCAGGCCCUCUUGAGCGCCAUCCAGGUCCUGGACGCCCGUGCAGACUCGUCAGGGAUCUCCCCGGACGAAUGGAGGCUGAGAUAUGACCUCGAGGACCAGCUCUCGGUCAUCUACGCUGACGAGGAGGCCUACUAGAGGCUGCACGGCAGCCAACGGUGGGUGCUCCAUGGUGACGCCAACACGGCCUACUUCCAGGUGAUCGCCAACGGCCGGGGCCGCCGCAAUUCCAUCCACUCCCUGUGGGAAGGCGAUACUCAACUUGUUCGCCCCUCGGACAUCCGAGCCCACGUAGACGGCUUUUAUAAAGCCCUUUUCACCCCCACCCCUCGGGGCCGGGCCGCGCUAGCCCCCGAUACCUGGUCGGGGGCCCAGCUUGUCUCUGCCGAUGCCAACGCCGCAUUGGUGGCGCCCUUCUUGGAGGAGGAGGUCCUUGCGGCGAUCAAAGGAAUGAACCCCUCCUCGGCUCCAGGCCCGGAUGGAUUGUCAGUCUCAUUUUUCAAAACAUUCUGGCAAACCAUCAAACCAGAGGUCAUGGCCCUCUUCGACUAGUUCUUCUCUGGGACAAUGGUCCUUGGGCGCCUGAACUACGGGAUCAUUACCCUCAUCCCUAAGGUUCCGGGGGCCUCGGAUAUUCGCCAGUUCCGCCCGAUCACGGUGAUUAACAUGAUCUUCAGGAUCCUGGCUAAAGGGUACGCCAAUAGGACCCUUCUCGCGGACUCUGUCACCCACCGCAACCAAUCUUCCUGCAUACAAGGCCGUUAUAUUUUGGAUGGGGUGUUGGUCUUGCAUGAUGUCGUCCAUGAAGUCCGGUCCAAAAACCACCGCGCAGUGUUCCUUAAGCUCGACUUUCACAAGGCAUACGACACUGUCCACUGGCCCUUCCUUUGGGAAGUUUUGCUUCGAAAGGGCUUUGACGACCGCUAG
This 1023-nucleotide ribosomal RNA is filed under the name Triticum aestivum (bread wheat). RNAcentral's name for it is "partial small subunit ribosomal RNA". The record is from RNAcentral. Lineage: Eukaryota; Viridiplantae; Streptophyta; Magnoliopsida; Poales; Poaceae.